CGGAGGGUGCUAAGCGUUAUCCGGAUUCACUGGGUUUAAAGGGUGCGUAGGUGGGCUAGUAAGUCAGUGGUGAAAUCUCCGGGCUUAACCCGGAAACUGCCAUUGAUACUAUUAGUCUUGAAUGUUGUGGAGGUAAGCGGAAUAUGUCAUGUAGCGGUGAAAUGCUUAGAUAUGACAUAGAACACCGAUAGCGUAGGCAGCUUACUACACAAUAUUGACACUGAGGCACGAAAGCGUGGGGAUCAAACAGGAUUAGAUACCCUGGUAGUCCACGCCCUAAACGAUGGAUACUCGACAUCAGCGAUACACUGUUGGUGUCUGAGCGAAAGCAUUAAGUAUCCCACCUGGGAAGUACGACCGCAAGGUUG
RNAcentral lists this ribosomal RNA (368 nucleotides) under uncultured organism. RNAcentral describes it as "bacterial SSU rRNA". It matches the Rfam family "Bacterial small subunit ribosomal RNA", at positions 526 to 896 of the family's 1533-position model. The record is from RNAcentral.